AUGAGAACUUGCCCUUCGGGGUAGAUCUCCCACCCUCUGUUUACAUACUUUGUUGCUUUGGCAGGCCCGUCUUCGGACCGCCGGCUUCGGCUGGCCCGUGCUUGCCAGAGGAUUCAAAACUCUUGUUUACAGUGUCGUCUGAGUACUAUAUAAUAGUUA
RNAcentral lists this unclassified non-coding RNA (159 nucleotides) under uncultured Helotiales. RNAcentral describes it as "sequence contains ITS1". Lineage: Eukaryota; Fungi; Ascomycota; Leotiomycetes; Helotiales. The record is from RNAcentral.